AACGUAGGUACCGAGCGUUAUCCGGAUUUACUGGGCGUAAAGCGCGUUCAGGCGGUUUGGCAAGUCGGGCAUGAAAUCUCUCGGCUCAACCGGGAGAGGUUGUCCGAUACUGCCGGACUUGAGUGCAGUAGAGGGUGGUGGAAUUCCGGGUGUAGUGGUGAAAUGCGUAGAUAUCCGGAGGAACACCAGUGGCGAAAGCGGCCACCUGGACUGCGACUGACGCUGACACGCGAAAGCUAGGGGAGCGAACGGG
This 253-nucleotide ribosomal RNA is filed under the name uncultured bacterium. RNAcentral describes it as "partial 16S ribosomal RNA". It matches the Rfam family "Bacterial small subunit ribosomal RNA", at positions 524 to 776 of the family's 1533-position model. The record is from RNAcentral.